Onychostoma macrolepis is the source of this 509-nucleotide non-coding RNA. The record is from the annotation of a RefSeq genome assembly. NCBI's taxonomy places the organism in Eukaryota, Metazoa, Chordata, Actinopteri, Cypriniformes, Cyprinidae.
AUCCAAGAUGAUCUUGUUGCAUUUGCUCGACUGUCACAAAGCUCAGUCCUGCUGCAGUGACACACACAUGUACAAUGAUACUUCAUUCAGUCAUUCUGUUCUCUGCCUUGACAUGUGUGAGUUUUGGAGAUGAAAUCACAGCAGACAGCACUGAGGAAUCUGCUGCAGUGGGUUCAACUGUUACUUUAUCCUGCAGUUAUUCCUCUGCAAAUACACUUCAGUGGUACCGUCAGUAUCCCGGAUCAGCUCCUCAAUUUCUUGUGCUCAUAAUGGAGAGUGUGAAAGAGACUAUGACAUCUGAUAUAGAUCCCAGAUUCUCCACUAAGCUCAGAAAAGAAAAACAAGCUACAAAAGAGAUCAAACGUGUGGAUCUGAUGAUCUCCUCUGCUGCUGUAUCAGACUCUGCUCUGUACUACUGCGCUCUGAGGCCCACAGUGACAGGAAACACAUCAACACUGUCUCAUGUGAUCUUUUCUCUCAAAGAGCUCUCUGGAAGAGGUGGAGUUUAA